This 2919-nucleotide unclassified non-coding RNA is filed under the name Drosophila ananassae. RNAcentral describes it as "GF14970". Lineage: Eukaryota; Metazoa; Arthropoda; Insecta; Diptera; Drosophilidae. The record is from RNAcentral.
GUUCACCAGUAUUAUAAUGUCAGAACGUUAACAAAUUUGAUGUAUCUUAACAACAUAAAAAUUUUUGUGUGUUUGCUUAACCUCUUUCGCCAAACCAUUGCUAGUCUCUGCUGAAUGAAUAUCAAAUACCAGUAUAGGGAUGUGUCUGUUAAAUUAUGGAAUCAAAAAUAGUGUCACUCAUUUUCAACUGCUAAUCGUGUUUGUCGUGUUUCUUUGCCUAGUGUUAAGAUGUGAAAAUAUUCCUGUCUACGAUGAGCCAAGAUUACCAGCGACUGUGAUACCCUUCCACUAUAACAUACAGCUAAUAACCCAUUUGGAAAAUUCGUCCCAAUUCCGCUACGAGGGAGUCGUUAACAUAUCCAUUCACAUCCAGAAAGAGACCAAGGAGCUAGUACUUCAUGCAGCCGGCUUUAAAAUGAAUACGAAGGACAUAACAUUAUGGUGCAAUGACCAGGCUCCACAGUUGGUAAAAGUCAGGUUCAACCGGCGCCGCAGCUAUAUGGUUCUCACCUUUGACAAGAACUUGAGUCUGAGCAGGUUCUAUACACUGAGGAUGUCGUUUCGACGCCCCAUGUCCGAUGACAGCCAGGCUGGUUAUUUUGUGCGCCACUAUUUGGACCGAGAAACAUCUCGUAAAAACUGGUACUCUCUGACUCAUUUCAAUCGAAAUUCCAUCCGCAAUACAAUGCCCAGUUUUGACGAGCCUUCCUUGAGGGCCACUUUUAAUGUGACUCAUGGUCAUCACAAACGCUACCAAAGUUUUAGCAACAUGAAAGUCCUGAAGGUCCUGCCCAACCACCAGUUGGUGGAUUAUGUUUGGUCCGUUCAUGAGACGUCCCCCCCAAUUCCCACAUACCUGCUUGCCUUCGCCCUGAACAACUUCACCUGCCACUUUAGCCAGUCGGCCAAUGCCAAGCCCAUUAGCUUUCGCACCUGCUCGCCGGCAGGACAGGUGCGCGAAACCACAUUUGCCGCGCAGGUAGCGCCGCAGCUGCUUACCCACUUUGAGGAGAUAUUGCAGGUCCAGCUUCCUCUAGAAAAGAUAGAUCAGCUGGUGGUGGACAACUACCCCACGGCUGCCCUGGAGAACCUUGGCUUGGUGGUUUACGGAAGCAAGCUGAUCCUGGAAAGCGAGCAGCCCGGCAGAUCGCUGACGCGGACACAAUUGCAAACCAUGGAACUGGUAGCCCACGAGAUGGCCCACAUGUGGUUCGGGAACCUACUGGGCCUCGAAUGGUGGACGGACCUCUGGCUGCUGGAGGGCCUAUCUGUUUUUCUCCAGUCGUUGGCUAUAGACGGGCUGCAGCCACGGAUGGGCCAGCGGAUGCUGGUCCGCAACCGGGAGUCGGCACUGAUGCACGAGACGCGGAUGGGGGGUCUCAAGCUGGUGCAGCGAACAAUGCCCAUCGCAUCGGACACGUUCAUGUUUAAGAAGGCCACUUCUCUUAUCGUCAUGCUGUGCUCCACUUUGGGCAACACCACUUUCUUCGAUGGCCUGCAGAGGCACCUGUGGCAGCACACCUACGAGAGCAGCACCCCCGACGACUUUUUACGGGCGAUGCAGCUGGCGAGCGAGAGGCAUGACUCGCUCCCAGAAGGCUACGAUGUAAAGACCAUAAUGAACAUAUGGACCAUGCAGAGCGGCUACCCGCUGGUGACGGUCAGCAGGAGCGAGGGUGGACUAGAUGUAGUCCAGAGUCACGCACUGAAUGAAAACAGUACGGAGCUUUGGUGGAUCCCACUCACAUUUACCAUCCAGGGCUCGGCCGACUUCCAGCACACUCUGCCGAAGGCCUGGCUCACUCCGGACCAGCCGCAAUUGCAUCUGAAUCUUUCGCUACCCCAGAACGACUGGGUGAUCUUCAACCUUCAGGCUCUCGGCUACUACAGAGUCCAGUACGAUGAGCUCAACCUGAAACUUUUAGCCAAAGCGCUCUUCAACAAUUUUCGUAACAUCCACGUCCUGAACAGGGCCCAGAUCGUAAGUGACAUCCUGUUCUUGAGGCGCCAAGGCCGUAUAAGCUGGAGCAACGCCUUCGAGGUUCUGAAGUACAUUCUUGACGAAGACGAGUAUGAGCCGCUGAUGGCCUUCGUUCUAGGGGUUACUCACGGCUUCUGGGGCUUAUCGCCGGACACUUCCAUUUCCAUUGCGAAAUGGCUGGGCAUUGCCGGAAAGUGGUACGCGGAGUUCAUCAGUUACACGUUCGACAAGUUCGUGAUGCAGGAGCAAAGUUUGAAUACCCUCGAUACGCCGCACUAGCUACCACCACGGAACGAAAGGGCCCAGUUGGGGAACCGCAGGAUAAUGGAGCUGAGCAGCCCCAGUGGCACUUCCUCCUGCGCGAACAAGCAAAAUGAAACCACCAUCAAUGAACCGCAAUUCAACAGCAAAAGCAACAGCCACGACGGCAGCUUCGCACAAUGCCAACGGACCCGGCCGUAGGAGGCAAUGGCUGGGAGUAGUAGUGGCCAACUGGGAUCCGGGGCGAUGGUAACUGGUAACUGCGGCUACACUUACAACCCGGCGAAUGCCAAGGCGCCAACUGAAAUAAUGACGGCAGGCGAAAUAACAAUAAAGGCUAAGACUCCGGCUGAGGGGGGAGCCAGAACCAAGUAAAGGACAAUAUCGAUGCUCUUUUUCCGAAUAAUGAAGAGCGGAAAAGACAAUGCCAGCCAGGACCCUAAUGCGGCCAUUCCAACGGCAAUGCAAUGAACUUCUUCGGUGCAAGUUCUUAAAGGACUUUAAGAUCGUCCAACGCGAAAAUGUAAAACAUUCACAAUCUCACAAAAUUCAGUCUAUAUUUGGUAUUGUAUGGAAAUAUCCGUGAACAUUGGUUAAAUAAUUGUUUCGCUUUGAUCGUAUACCCAAUUGCUAUAUCCAAAUGCAAUUGAAACCAAUUAAAUGCUAAUAAAAUAAAA